CAGAAAAUUGAUUUACCGUUAUCCUACACAGUUCCGUACAGUCAAAACUUGUCUUAAUGGUAAUCCUUAUUUCGAGCGAAAAAUAUUGAUUUUCUUUUUCUCUUUGUCUUUCGGUAUUUUGGAGUUUUGAUUCUUAAGUGUUCAACGCCUUUAAAAGGCUCAAUCAUUUGUGAUUUAUAUUAUAUCGAUUAAUUACAGCAGCUACUCCAAAUACUGAGUCUGAACUUGCACACCAAAGAUAUUAGAAACAGUUUUUUUUAGUUAAAAGUCAAUUUUUUCCAUGUUACGUUGGUCAUCAACGUAUACGUUCGGGCUAUUAUGGCUCAUCAUCGGUAGCGAAGCAUUUCAUCUGAAUGCUCUGAAGCAAGAUCAUUUGGAGCGUAUGAAACAAUACGAUGCAAAAAUUCGGCUAGCGAAACAUGAAUUUGAUGAUACAAGUAAUGAAACAAAGUAAAACUUUAUAUUUAUAAUUGGAUUCACUAAUUAGCCUGCCAAAUUAAGUAAGAAACGUCUGUUUCUUUAAAUGGUAUUGAGAAUGUCUUCUUGAGCAACCUCAGUUAAGGAGUCCAGCAUCUUAAUCGUUUCUGGGUUGGUCAAUUUCUGUAGUUGAUAAUGCUUUAAGACAAUCUCCGCAAACGUUCUUGUUGUCUUUUUGGUUGAAUAAUCACGGAAUGCUUUUUCGUAUAAUACUUUGGCAUUUUUAUACAACACAAGUUUGGAGUUUUGAGCUACCAUGAUGGGGAUAGCUGCACGUUGAAUCUCUAAGUCAGCUCUAGAAAUGAGUAUUCUUACAUGAUUAGGAUUGUAAGUGUUAGCCAUCUUUAAACUUUUGGCAGCUACUCCUAACAUAUUCCAGGCUCUAGUCAUUAUUUCAAUAGAUGCGCUUUCUUCUGUAGAUACGCAGGAAUCUAGUAGCGUCUCUGCAAAGUCUAUGUAUGCAUCGGCUUUGUCGCACAGCAAUUGAAUAUGCAAAGGUUUAACAGACGAGUUCGGAUCCAACGGGUUUUGCAAGUUUAGCUGUGGUAAUUGGCUAAGUUGAUGGUCAAAAACUUGCAGUAAAUCAAUCCAUGCCACCUCAUUUUCUUUACCACCAAGUACUAAACGUUUGGUUUUCGCCAAGUACCAGUCCAUUAGCUUUAAUAUAUCGAGUUUUUCCGUAAUCGGUAGCAUUAUCUGACAGAGUUUCUCAAAAUCUGAUUCUUCAAGUAACUUGCAACUGCAUGCUAAAGAAGCAAUUUCGGUAACUAAUGUCGAUGCCUCUUUGUCUGCUUCUAUAAAGUAUAAUCGUCGAGCCUGUAUGUCAGGUAUUUCUUCAUAUUUUUGUUGCGACGAUGUUUGUAUAGUAUUUUCCCAUUCAAUUCUUUCUCGUUCUUGUAAAUCAAUGCUAUGUGAAAUGGAUUGCAGUGCUUGCUGGAUUUCAGGAUAUGCCAAAUCUUCGCGAUCAAGAUCCACCCAAAUCUCAGCCAAAUUAAGAUGAACCUGCGCAAGGUUGAACCAAAUAUCUGGGGCCUCUUGUAAUAAUAAGGCGUGCUUAUGCAUCUCAAUACUUUUCUGGAGGCAUACUUGUGAAUCUUUGUAUAGCAUAUCGCAGUUUGUAGCCAUAUUGAGUAGCAAUCUUGCUUUAUUAAAACGAGCAUCAAAAUCAUUCGGACAUUGUAAUAAAUAUCUAUCAUAUGUUUCAAGGGAUUUUUGAUAAAAUCUUAAACACUAUUGCUUGUUAGUUUUAAUUUCACGUGC
Schizosaccharomyces pombe (fission yeast) is the source of this 1737-nucleotide non-coding RNA. The record is from the annotation of a GenBank genome assembly. NCBI's taxonomy places the organism in Eukaryota, Fungi, Ascomycota, Schizosaccharomycetes, Schizosaccharomycetales, Schizosaccharomycetaceae.